GCCCUCGUGGCGGAAUGGCAGACGCACAGGACUUAAAAUCCUGUGAACCGAAUAGGUUCGUGCGGGUUCGAGUCCCGCCGAGGGCA
This is a transfer RNA of Methylacidiphilum fumariolicum SolV, 86 nucleotides long. It matches the Rfam family "tRNA". From Rfam's summary of the family: Transfer RNA (tRNA) molecules are approximately 80 nucleotides in length. Their secondary structure includes four short double-helical elements and three loops (D, anti-codon, and T loops). Further hydrogen bonds mediate the characteristic L-shaped molecular structure. tRNAs have two regions of fundamental functional importance: the anti-codon, which is responsible for specific mRNA codon recognition, and the 3' end, to which the tRNAs corresponding amino acid is attached (by aminoacyl-tRNA synthetases). tRNAs cope with the degeneracy of the genetic code in two manners: having more than one tRNA (with a specific anti-codon) for a particular amino acid; and 'wobble' base-pairing, i.e. permitting non-standard base-pairing at the 3rd anti-codon position. Lineage: Bacteria; Pseudomonadati; Verrucomicrobiota; Methylacidiphilae; Methylacidiphilales; Methylacidiphilaceae. The record is from Rfam.